Molecule: ribosomal RNA, 266 nt
Filed under: Bacteroides sp. enrichment culture DGGE gel band SulFe1
Lineage: Bacteria; Pseudomonadati; Bacteroidota; Bacteroidia; Bacteroidales; Bacteroidaceae
Description: partial 16S ribosomal RNA
Rfam family: Bacterial small subunit ribosomal RNA
Source: RNAcentral
CAGCCAAGUAGCGUGAAGGAUGACUGCCCUAUGGGUUGUAAACUUCUUUUAUAAGUGGAAUAAAGUGGAAUAUGUAUACUCUUUUGUAUGUACCUUAUGAAUAAGGAUCGGCUAACUCCGUGCCAGCAGCCGCGGUAAUACGGAGGAUCCGAGCGUUAUCCGGAUUUAUUGGGUUUAAAGGGAGCGUAGGCGGAUGUUUAAGUCAGUUGUGAAAGUUUAAGGCUCAACCUUGAAAUUGCAGUUGAUACUGGACGUCUUGAGUGCAC